RNAcentral lists this ribosomal RNA (474 nucleotides) under Odontotermes fulleri. Its description in RNAcentral is "partial 16S ribosomal RNA". It matches the Rfam family "Bacterial large subunit ribosomal RNA", at positions 1832 to 2597 of the family's 2925-position model. The record is from RNAcentral. Lineage: Eukaryota; Metazoa; Arthropoda; Insecta; Blattodea; Termitidae.
UUUUCUUGGUAGUUUUUGAAGUAUGGUCUGCCCGCUGAUUGAAGGGCCGCGGUAUUUUGACCGUGCAAAGGUAGCAUAGUCAUUAGUUCUUUAAUUGUGAUCUGGCAUGAAUGGCUUGACGAGACAUGAGCUGUCUUUUUGAAUUUGUAUUUUGAGUUAAAAUUCUUAGAUGUUUUUAUGGGACGAGAAGACCCUAUAGAGUUUUACAUUGGUUCUUUUGUUUGUUUUCCAUUUUUAUAUUUGUUUUGUUGGGGUGAUGGGAGGAAUAUUCUUUAACUCCUCUUUUUGUUAUAUGAUUUGUAUUUGUUUUGAUCCAUUUAUUUUGAUUAUAAGAUUAAAUUACCUUAGGGAUAACAGCGUUAUCUUCCCUGAGAGUUCUUAUUGGCGGGAGGGGUUGCGACCUCGAUGUUGGAUUAAGGUUUAUUUUUGGUGUAGGAGCUGAAUAGAUUAGGUCUGUUCGACCUUUAAAAUCUU